CGGCUUUCCUAUUUUGUUGGUUUCUAGGGGAGCCGUAAUGAUUAAUAGGGAUAGUCGGGGGCAUCAGUAUUCAAUUGUCAGAGGUGAAAUUCUUGGAUUUAUUGAAGACUAACUACUGCGAAAGCAUUUGCCAAGGAUGUUUUCAUUAAUCAGUGAACGAAAGUUAGGGGAUCGAAGACGAUCAGAUACCGUCGUAGUCUUAACCAUAAACUAUGCCGACUAGGGAUCGGGCGAUGUUACUAUCUUGACUCGCUCGGCACCUUACGAGAAAUCAAAGUUUUUGGGUUCUGGGGGGAGUAUGGUCGCAAGGCUGAAACUUAAAUUUUUAUUGACGGAAGGGCACCACCAGGCGUGGAACCUGCGGCUUAAUUUGACUCAACACGGGGAAACUCACCAGGUCCAGAUACAAGUAGGAUUGACAGAUURAGAGCUCUUUCUUGAUUUGUAGUUGGUGGUGCAUGGCCGUUCUUAGUUGGUGGAGUGAUUUGUCUGCUUAAUUGCGAUAACGAACGAGACCUUAACCUGCUAAAUAGCCCGGCUCGCUUUGGCGGGUCGCUGGCUUCUUAGAGGGACUAUCGGCUCGAGCCGAUGGAAGUUUGAGGCAAUAACAGGUCUGUGAUGCCCUUAGAUGUUCUGGGCUGCACGCGCGUUACACUGACAGAGGCAACGAGUUUUUUUCCUUGGCCGGAAGGCCUGGGUAAUCUUGUUAAACUCUGUCGUGC
This 722-nucleotide ribosomal RNA is filed under the name uncultured fungus. RNAcentral's name for it is "SSU rRNA". It matches the Rfam family "Eukaryotic small subunit ribosomal RNA", at positions 839 to 1590 of the family's 1831-position model. Lineage: Eukaryota; Fungi. The record is from RNAcentral.